Non-coding RNA from Paramormyrops kingsleyae, 262 nucleotides. The record is from RefSeq and is a predicted model, not a curated record. Lineage: Eukaryota; Metazoa; Chordata; Actinopteri; Osteoglossiformes; Mormyridae.
AGUGAAGCUGCUCUCUGCCAUACUGCCAUACUCCAGCUGUAAACUGGAGAAGCUGCAGGUGAGCCGGUGUGAACUCACAGAGAAAUGCUGUGAGGAACUGGCUUCAGCUUUAAGAUUGAACUCCUCACCUCUCAGAGAGCUGGACCUGACUGACAAUGACCUGCAGGAUUCAGGAGUGAAGCUGCUCUCUGCUGGGCUGGGGGAUUCACACUGUAAACUGGAGACACUGAGGCUGGCAGGCUGUAGAGUCACAGAAGAAGGC